RNAcentral lists this long non-coding RNA (543 nucleotides) under Pongo abelii (Sumatran orangutan). RNAcentral's name for it is "lincRNA". Lineage: Eukaryota; Metazoa; Chordata; Mammalia; Primates; Hominidae. The record is from RNAcentral.
AGUUCUCAACUUGCUCCUUGGCUGUUCUCCUGACACUUAAGUCAGAGCAUUCUGCAGCUGUAUUUUACAGAACUGUAAUUGCACAGAUUGUUCCUCUUACAAGAGAAAUAUCCAGAGCUCUAGGAAAACAAUUGAUGAAAACGACAUGCGUGACAUUUGGUGCUGAAGACCCGGGUCAGAGAGACUCCUUUGGGGGACCAGUCCCCUGUCCUUGCCCUCACUCAGUGAGAAGACCCACCUAUGACCUCGGGUCCUCAGACCAACCAGCUCAAGGAACAUCUCACCCAUUUCAAAUCGGGACCCCACUGGAAAUCGGACUGUCCAACUCGCCCGGCAGCCACUCCCAGAGCCCCUGGAACUCUGGCCCAAGGCUCUGUGACUGACUCCUUCCCAGAUCUUCUCGGUUCAGCGGCUGAAGACUGACACUGCCCGAUUGCCUGGGAAGCCUAUAGGACCAUCACAGACACUUUGGGUAACUCUUACAGUGAAGGUGUCUGGAGUUUCCCGUACGGACUCUGUCUCCUGCCACCAUGUAAGUCUUGC